This 499-nucleotide ribosomal RNA is filed under the name uncultured Glomeromycotina. Its description in RNAcentral is "partial small subunit ribosomal RNA". It matches the Rfam family "Eukaryotic small subunit ribosomal RNA", at positions 591 to 1092 of the family's 1831-position model. Lineage: Eukaryota; Fungi; Glomeromycota. The record is from RNAcentral.
CCAAUAGCGUAUAUUAAAGUUGUUGCAGUUAAAAAGCUCGUAGUUGAAUUUCGAGAUCAAAUUGUUGGUCGUGCCUCGGUACGUACUGGCAUUAUUGAUUUCUCCCUUCUGAAGAACCACGAUGUCAUUAAUUUGGUGUCGUGGGGAAUCAGGACUGUUACUUUGAAAAAAUUAGAGUGUUUAAAGCAGGCUCACGCUUGAAUACAUUAGCAUGGAAUAAUGAAAUAGGACGUUUGAUUCUAUUUUGUUGGUUUCUAGGAUCGACGUAAUGAUUAAUAGGGAUAGUUGGGGGCAUUAGUAUUCAAUUGUCAGAGGUGAAAUUCUUGGAUUUAUUGAAGACUAACUACUGCGAAAGCAUUUGCCAAGGAUGUUUUCAUUAAUCAAGAACGAAAGUUAGGGGAUCGAAGACGAUCAGAUACCGUCGUAGUCUUAACCAUAAACUAUGCCGACUAGGGAUCGGAUGAUGUUAAUUUUUUAAUGACUCAUUCGGCGCCUUACG